UACAGAGGUCUCAAGCGUUGUUCGGAUUCAUUGGGCGUAAAGGGUGCGUAGGCGGCGCGGUAAGUCGGGUGUGAAAUCUCGGGGCUUAACUCCGAAACUGCAUUCGAUACUGCCGUGCUUGAGGACUGGAGAGGAGACUGGAAUUUACGGUGUAGCGGUGAAAUGCGUAGAUAUCUGGAGGAACACCGGUGGCGAAGGCGGCGUCCUGGACCAAUACUGACACUGAGGAGCGAAAGCCAGGGGAGCAAACGGG
This 253-nucleotide ribosomal RNA is filed under the name uncultured bacterium. Its description in RNAcentral is "partial 16S ribosomal RNA". It matches the Rfam family "Bacterial small subunit ribosomal RNA", at positions 524 to 776 of the family's 1533-position model. The record is from RNAcentral.